ACAGCACAUCGAGCGCCCUCGACUGAAGCCAACCUUGUCCCGGAAGUUGGUGCUUCACAACUUUGCAGCAGCACUUUGUUUGCACGGCCUGUGGAGACAAGGUUUCUUAGACAUGGCCAUGGCCCUCAAGGAAGAUGCCUAUGCCACAGGCAGUUCCUCCAGUGACCGUGAAAAGGUCCCCUGGGGCACAAGUCUAAUUUGGCACCCCUUCCUUUCUCCUGCAGCUUUUCUGUCUACUUAGCUAACCAGCAGCAAGUUUAUCCUUGCAAGCGUUUAGGGUCAACAACAACUUUCACCAGGAAGAAGUGCAAGACGAGUGAUUGAAGAAAA
This is a non-coding RNA of Dermacentor andersoni, 330 nucleotides long. The record is from RefSeq and is a predicted model, not a curated record. NCBI's taxonomy places the organism in Eukaryota, Metazoa, Arthropoda, Arachnida, Ixodida, Ixodidae.